RNAcentral lists this long non-coding RNA (730 nucleotides) under Canis lupus dingo (dingo). RNAcentral's name for it is "lncRNA (ENSCAFG00020026503.1)". The record is from RNAcentral. Lineage: Eukaryota; Metazoa; Chordata; Mammalia; Carnivora; Canidae.
GUUCGGAAGUUUGGUCGAAGUAAGUAGUGAAAGAAAUGCUAUUACUAAAACCAUGGGAAGUAUCUCUCAAUCUAUGAUUUAGAAUAGAUUCAACCCACCUCUUGAACUCAUCCUUUGGCCAAGUUGGGUUUUUACAUAAUUUAGGGUGAUUUCUCUUGAAUUGGUCUCAAAAUUCCUAAUACAUCUCUUAAAAUUGUACUUUUUGCUUGGUUAGUGUUUACAAUAGUUUCCUUAGUAAACACAAAUACUAUGUAACUCUUUAGCCCAUGAGGAAUAAUUACUGACAGAGUGGAUGCACUAAGAUUGAGUUCUAUACCAUCUUCAUGUCUUAAAAAAAUAUUGAAUUUUAAAAACUAUUUUCAGAAUAUGAAAGAGUUUUCACUUUGAAGAAGUGCAAGGAUCUCUUGCAGUCAAGAAACAGUUUGUUGAAUAUACCAUCAAGGAAGCUGAAAGGUUUAAAAGAGGAGUCUUAAUUCAGCAACUUGAGAAGGUCCUAGAAAAAAUAGAAUCCUGCCACCAUCUCAAGAAAGUUAAUGAUCAGAAAAGUAAAUAAUUGUGUUCUUGUAAAGACCACUGAGAAGCAAGGAUGAAUUUUCUAUGCUGUAUGCUGCAAUGAGAUACUUCUUAAGCCCUCCUAAAAUGUAGUCAAGAAAAUUAUAGUCAAGAAAAGGAUAAGCAAAAAGGCAGUGGAGCCUUUUAGUUUUAUGGUUCUUUGUCAGUAAAAGAUGGG